Paramacrobiotus metropolitanus is the source of this 3054-nucleotide long non-coding RNA. RefSeq lists it as uncharacterized. The transcript has 3 exons. The record is from RefSeq and is a predicted model, not a curated record. NCBI's taxonomy places the organism in Eukaryota, Metazoa, Tardigrada, Eutardigrada, Parachela, Macrobiotidae.
UAUACCGGCAUCGUCCGUAAGGACUUGAUUAAGACCAACACCGUUUUCCCAGUAUACCGGCAUGAACAGCCGGGAAGUACGAUCCCGUGUUGCCGUUUUUACUUCAACAGCGCUGGUGUAGUUGUUUACCUGCUUACACCGUUUCCUUCGGAAGUGGAGCGGCAUCCUUCCCUGCGCUAUCCGCUGCACUGCAAGCUGCCGGUACAUGUGGCGUAUAUUGUUGAAGGUUAACAAGCGAGUAAUCGUUAGUUUACGGGGUCAUUGGUUGAUGCUGCGUGCAACGGGGAAACACGCGCGUCGACUGUGUACGGCAUUUUAGAUUUGAUUUAGUUUAAAUUCAAACACGUUGUUUAUUUUUUAUUCGUAACAUUAAUCGUUAUGGCUUUUAAUCUUCAACCACAAAAGUUGUCUUCUACCGGCUUCUGAAAAUAUUUGAACUGUGCAACGAUCUCUUAAUAUACAGCUAUAUGGUACACGAAUAAAUAUUUUAUAGCUAUAUUAAAGAACAGAAACAAGGAAUUUCAAAUUACAAAAUUAGUAGAGCAUGCAGCUGUCGCCCGUGCAGCAGUUCCGUGCCAGCAGCCCACACACGUGCGGAUUCCAAAAGGUCACCUAGCAUCUGAGCAUCUAUGCACUUCCUGAGACCGCAUCCGCUUGACUUGUGAACUAUUUCACCGUGACGCUCCCGAUCCGAGUUCCGACCGAGCCGGGGAACACCUACGCUUACGUCGGCUGGGGAGCAUUACCCACAUGGAGAAACGCACUGACCCCGCUCACUGCACACUGGAGAUACGCCGUGAUUCGCCGUUUGGCGGAACUUGGUACUUCCAUGGCCUUGCCUAGCGGAUCCCGGGUCUCGUCCUCGGUAUCCGCAGCGGCCCGCAUCCCACCCAGCAAGGUGCCCUACAAAGGGAAACGGGUCUUCCAUUGGGUUAGCUUCAGCCUGGCGACGCGUCACUGCUGUCGCCGCUGCAGGAUUAAUUCAUCUAACUGAGACCAAGCAGCUGUACUCGGCGUCCAGCGACGCUCAUUCACUGGUGUUCAGGCGACGCAGAUCCCACAAAUUCCUCGAUCCCGCGUCACCCAGCACGGAUACGGCCGACGGAAACUCCACGAGCGGCUCCGUCUACCCGGGCCAACCAUUCCACCGGAUACUAGGGGCACUAUCUACACAGUUUUCUCAGACAAUAGCAAUAACGCCCGUUCGAAUUGGGCUUGCUACGUCUCCGCCACUGCAGGCACCAGCGACACGGAAGUCUGCAAGUCUGUUCGCUAAGUACGUAAUAUUAUGAGUCGGCAUUAAUGUACUGUUAUACGAGUAUAAUAAUAUGAGUUAUUGACAAUUCUUUUUCUUCCGGCCCCGGAAGCAUAUUGCAAAAAUUACUUUGCGGAAAACCUACAGGAUAUCAUCUGAUCGAUGAUUAUGUGAUACGAUGUGGAACCAUUUGAUUGGUUGAUAGGUCUGACUGAUUUGAAGCUGGCGCUUUUUCCUAUAUAAGCGAAUAUCCCAACAAAGAACAUGCACAACCUAAUUUGCAGCACUCUACCUUUUCAUCAUUUUUUCAUUCUUUUUUUGUUCCCACACCACCGAAUCAAUCAUGCCAGCGCUGGUAGCCCUGGUACAUCUCGUUAUAUAAUAAGAUGUACCAAGGCUACCAGCGCUACUAUAUAUGGUGAUUAUCUCAGCGAUAAUCGGCCCGAUCGAAAUCUGUUUCUUAACCAUUUGAUGAUGUUGGUACCAACUACAGUACCAACAUCAUCAAAUGGGUAAGAAACAGAUUUCGAUCCGGCCGAAAGCAUUAGAAGGAGAAAUUCCGCAGGAUAAAACGAAAAGAAUAUAGAUCCUGCACCGGGCCACCGCCACCGUCGCCAUUCACCGCAGUGACCUUGCUCUUCCACAAUUCGCUUCCCUUGCCCGCUCCAUAAUAACUCAAGGCGCCGGCCGACUGAUAACAACUUAACGGGUCACUUUUUUAUCCGGCUCGGCAUGGCAUCCUGGAUAACACUUAUGCAUUGCUCCGACUACGAAUCAUCCAUAUUUCUACCACUGUCUUAUAUGGGCUCUCCUUAGCUCACUCUCCCAUAUCUGGGCUCCCGGCUAGUUAGCAGUACCCGUCAAAUUAAAUUUAUCAAAUUUAUAGCAGAACCCUUUUCUAUUUCUUUCAACCGGAUUUACCAGAAAACCUUCGUUGAACUCAAAGAUGACGACAGUGGAAGCAGAGGUGUGACUUCACCGGUGGAACAAAUUGAUUAGUGACAGAAGGGUAGAUAUGGCAAUCAGACAAUGGUUUAAAGAAUACGAGGGAAUGUCAGUAGCGCACCUAGAUAAUCCCUUGUAUUGCCGUCACCCGCCUGGAGUGUGACGUUACGGCACUACAUAUAGCUAAAUCUGGCGCGGUACAUACGCACCAUGUACAGCCACAACGUCAUACUCCAGCCGGCUGACGGCAGCAAGUACAGGGAUAAUCUAGGUGCGCUACUGACAUCCCCUCGUAUGUAGAAAUGUAAACGUGUAAGGCGUUGAAUUUUGGAUUCAGCGAUAGGGAGUGACAUUACGAUACCGAAUAACUUGAACAAAAGUCUCAUAAAACACAUUCUUCGUGAACACAGAAUCCGAAAGCCGAUGUUCUAUUGGCGGUGAGACCGGCGUACCGUCACUUCUGUGCAAAGCUGCGUCGCACCACAUCGUUCAAGACUUUAGUCCAGCACCAACAUUUAAGGUCGAUGCGUUUGAAAAGAUUUUGAACCCGGCUUGUGUGUUUGCGGGUAUAUUGAUAUUGCGUAUAUUGCUAUACAUGAUCUUUACAUAAUUUGUGGUCUAUUUAAUUGUCUGAUUGUAAGACAUCCUGAAUGUAUUAUCCCAGCCAAUAGUUUUCUUUUGGUCUUUAACGUGCGAAGGCUUAGCUUUCCACGGGUUAUGCAUGCGCAUGUCCCAUGGACUGAAAACUUUGUAAAUAUGCUUUUAUCGUUGUCGAAAAGUUGCAUACUGCAUGUUCCUUAUUGAUUGUGUCUGAAGCCUAGAGAGGGCGUCAAGCGCUGUUACAAGGACAUUAA